Molecule: unclassified non-coding RNA, 153 nt
Filed under: Patiria miniata (bat star)
Lineage: Eukaryota; Metazoa; Echinodermata; Asteroidea; Valvatida; Asterinidae
Description: tyramine receptor Ser-2-like, transcript variant X1
Source: RNAcentral
CAACUGGCGGGGAGGUUGUCGUCAGGAGCGUUUCUAGCGCUAAUCUCUACGGCAACCGCCGAAACAGCCUCGGAAGUAAGUCUGAUCAGCAACGCUCAUCACUUCAUGUACCAUGACUGCAGGACAUGGCUACGGCACAAAUGCAUGGCUGGG